Molecule: long non-coding RNA, 2988 nt
Organism: Peromyscus californicus insignis
Lineage: Eukaryota; Metazoa; Chordata; Mammalia; Rodentia; Cricetidae
Exons: 3
Source: RefSeq, a predicted model, not a curated record
GGCUUCCGAGAUGGGAAAAGGAAAUGCCCUUUUGCAGCAUCCUGGAAUAUCAGCUUCCAGGCUGGCAUCUCAAGCAGUAGGACUGUUGCCUGGGAGACAAGGAACAGGAAAGAACACCCAGGGUAGGGUGCGGGCUACAUCAAGAGCCAUUCUUGGAGGGCAGUAGUUACAAACCACAGAAAAAAAUAAGCAGGCUGCACUGGACACGGAGCAAAAGGUUGGCUUCAUAUUCCUACGUAGCUGAGGAUUACCUGCUGUGCCAUCAUACCCCAUUUAUGUUUAUGUGACGCUGUGGAUGGAACUCAGCUCCUUGUGCAUGCUAGACCAGCACGUUACCAAUUGAGCCAUGCCUCAGACCCUGAAAACAGGGAUGAGAAGGAGCUUCUGCCCUGCUGCCGAAUAACCGAGGGAGGACCAGUCUGAGGAGCAACCGGCCUUGGGGUGCAGGAAGGCUUGGUGGCACUGAGUCCCAUUAGCUCCUUGGUUUGCCCUUCCUUAUUGCACAAGCAUUACAGAUAUCUGGGAGGAGGUAUUAGCUGCUAGAUCCUUGGUACCCUGGAUGUGGUUCCCAAGUGGGCGGUGCCAUCAUGGAGUGGUGUAAACAGUUCUGAUUCUUGGGGGCUGGUAAGGUGCUCAAUGGAUAAAGGCACUUGCUGUCAAAUUCGAUGCCCUGAGUUCAAUCCCCUCAGAAUCUGCAGGGUAGAAGGAGAGAACUGACUAUGGAGAAAUUCGCCCUCUGACCUACACUUGCAUACACGCACCCAUGCCCCCACCUUCAACAAAUAAAUGAAUAAAUGUGUGUUUUUUUAAAAAGCUGACUCUUGGGCCUUGUCCAAGAACUAUUAAACUAGAAUAUGUAUUUUAACAAGAACCCCAAGAGAUUUGUGUACUCAUUAAAAUUUGAAGAGUGCUACUUCCGGGGCAUUGUUCUGGCUGUCCUGGGUCUAUUCCAGUCCUCUGGUGAGAGUGAGAGGUUUUAUUUCCUCUAAGAGGAUUGGGCCUCUCCCCCAACUCUAGCUCCAGGCACAGCAUAGGGACUGAUCCACUCUUAAAUUGGCCCACAUGGCCUUUGGUACUCACUUCCAGAGCUUAGGACCAAAGGUGCUGGCUUCAUGCAUAUCCUUCUACAGUUUAGGAUGGAAGCCUGGAGCUGGGAGGCGUGUUGGUUACCACUACAGCCAAUCCAGGAAGAGUCCUCAUAGAGAGGAAGGGAACACAUAAAUGCGCUUACUCUGGGACGCCCUGCCGCGUGCGACAGCCAGAGAAAAUUCCUCCUGCUCACACCUUCCCCUUCACAGACUGACCCUUUGCUUCCCAAUCCUUGUUAAGACCUGAAGAACAGGACUUAAGUGGUGACCACCUGAAUGAGGUGGAUGGGAGGUAGGUCUAACCAGGCAGGGGACAUCUAUGUGGUGUCAUGCCCCCCUGAAAGGGCGGGGAGGGGUGAGGGAUGUCUGACAAGGCACAUGAUGAUGACUAAAAUCAAAACCCACACACCAGAGCCCUAAGGUGGGGCAGUUGGCAAAGGACAGCCUUUCUGGUAGGUGGUCCUGCCUGCACUCCCCUUCAAAGCAGACAUGGGAAGGUGUUUUCUGGAAUCCAGGCUCUGCCUGUCAUGGGUUUUCUGCCCAGCCCUCAGGCUUUGUGCCUAAGCACUAUCCUCUUCCGGCUGGAAGCCUGAUGAGGGAGGAGGCACUGACCAGUGGCUGAGCACAGAGGCCAGAGCCCGGGGCGCCUGUUCAGGGCACCUCAGAAAACAGCUGCCUGGAGGCAUGUGCUGCUGAUAAGAUGGGUGUUCCUGGGGCACAGCGGGGCUGAAAUUAGUUCCCUAGAGAGUAACUGACCUCUGGGUUGUAUUAAGACUAAAGAGGUUCCAGGAUGCUGGCGUAUCCAGAUGAGCCAGCCACUCUAUUCUCUGAGGCUUCUGUAGCCUGCACCCGAACAAGCAGGGAUGGUGGGUGGGCAGUGAGUGGAUGCUGCCAGGGAGGGUCAGAACAUCUCCUUCCAUAAGGUUGGACCUGGAGUUCUGUGAGUGAGGGAUCCCAGAGGAUCCAGACCUGAGUGUGAAUACCUAUGGCUGUGUGUGCGGGGCUCUCCUCUGUGUGUCUGUGUGAGGGAGUGAGAGAAAGACAUGUUCCAUGUGACGCUGUUGGGUGUCAACUGUGAGGGCUGAGAGAACUAUAGGCUGUCUGUGCGAGGAAGAGAGAGCAAGUCGGCAGUAACCCUCACAUCUAUGAACCCACUAUGUGAGUGCACUAUGGGGUGUCUGAGUGGAGAAUUCUGCUGCCUGUGGGACUGGUCUGUGUACAUUCAUGUCUGUGUCAGGUAUGGGGCUUGUGAAUGGGAGAUACUGUCUCCAAGAGUCUGGGAGGUUGUUUCAGUGUGUUGCUGUUUCUGAAAUAGGGUCUCCCGCAGCCCAGGCUCCUUCGAACUCCUGUGUGACCGAGGCGGACCUUGACCUUCUCCUGACUUCACUUUCAGGGUAUGGAGGUUACAGGUGCACACUACCACAGCCAGUGUGUUUAGUGGUGGGGCUCACAUCGAGGGCUUCCUGCACACUGGGCAAGCACUCUACCAGCUGAGCUGCAUCCCCAGCCCCACCCAAGAGUCUGUUUUGGCAUAAGCGUGGCAGACUGAUGGUGGUGCUUUAUGUGAGCCAUGGGAGGAUUUGGCUGGCGGUGAGAUCCAUGUGUAUGUCAAGAUAACACAGGUGGGAGGAGAGCGCUCCCAGUAAUGUGGUGGUAGGGUAUCAAGUGUGUGCCCAAUAAGCAGAUGGGCAAAUUGAGUCCUUCCAGAGUCAGGCCAUUGUCUCACCAUCUACCCCAAAGGCAGGAUUUCCUGUCCCAGAACUCAGAUUGUCCUUUGGUUAAUUCCCAGUUCAUCAUGGGUAAUAUCCACACCUAGGAGUGUCUGUUUGCCCCUGUGAACUCCUUCCCCCCAGUCAACUGUCUUCUCAGAGCUGAAGAAGCUGCCAGCCGCUUGGAAGCA